GACCAUGACACGACCAUGACCAUGGGCUGACCAUGAGCGCGUGAUGACUGUGACCGAGACAUGACCACAACGCAACCAUGGCCAUGUGGUGGUCAAGGCCAUUAGAUGACCAUGACUGUGACCAUAAUACAACCACAACCAUGAAAUGCUCGAGAUCAUGACAUGAUCCUGACUAUGAGAUGACCAAGAGAUAACCAUGUCCAUGACACAACCACAGCUGUGAGGUGAACAUGAUGUGGUUGUGGCCACGAGCUGACCAUGAGAUGACCAUGAGGUAACAAUGAGAUGACCAUGAUCAGGAGAUGACCAUGACAUGACCGUGAGCAUGUGGUGAUUGUGACCAAGAGAUGACCAAGAGAUGACCACAGCACAGCAUGGCCAUGUGAUGAUCAACACCAUGAGAUGGUCAUUCCAAUGAGAUGACCACGACCAUGGAAUAACCAUGACUGUGACACAACCACGACUGUAAGAUGACCAUGAUGUGAUUGUGACCAUGAGAUGACCAUGAGAUGACCAUGACACACCUGUGGUAUGAGGUGAUUGAGACCAUGAGAUGACCGUGACAGUGACCAUGACACAACCAUGACCAUGAGAUGACCAUGAGAUGAUUGUGGCCAUGACUGUUACCAUGAGAUGGCCAUGACUUUGACCGUGAUACAACCAUGACCAUAGAUGACCAUGAGAUGAUUGUGGCCAUGAGUUGACCAUGAGAUGACCAUGAGGUGACCAUGACUGAAGCAUGUCCAUGGGGUGAUCAAGGUCAUGCGAUGACCAUGAGGUGACCAUGACUUAACCAUGGGCAUGGGGUCAUAAAGACCAUGAGAUGAGCAAGAGAUGACCAU
This is a long non-coding RNA of Poecile atricapillus (Black-capped chickadee), 842 nucleotides long. RefSeq lists it as uncharacterized. The record is from RefSeq and is a predicted model, not a curated record. Lineage: Eukaryota; Metazoa; Chordata; Aves; Passeriformes; Paridae. The transcript is spliced from 3 exons.